GCAUGGCUAGUUCAAUUGGUAGAGCAUGUGACUCUUGAUAGCAGGGUGUGAGUUCAAACCUCAUGUUGGGUG
Molecule: transfer RNA, 72 nt
Filed under: Mustela putorius furo (domestic ferret)
Lineage: Eukaryota; Metazoa; Chordata; Mammalia; Carnivora; Mustelidae
Rfam family: tRNA
About the family: Transfer RNA (tRNA) molecules are approximately 80 nucleotides in length. Their secondary structure includes four short double-helical elements and three loops (D, anti-codon, and T loops).
Source: Rfam by way of RNAcentral